This 1692-nucleotide ribosomal RNA is filed under the name Salmonella enterica subsp. enterica serovar Typhimurium. Its description in RNAcentral is "partial 23S ribosomal RNA". It matches the Rfam family "Bacterial large subunit ribosomal RNA", at positions 1154 to 2802 of the family's 2925-position model. Lineage: Bacteria; Pseudomonadati; Pseudomonadota; Gammaproteobacteria; Enterobacterales; Enterobacteriaceae. The record is from RNAcentral.
CGUAUCACCCAAGACAACUUUACGGAGUUGACGAUUGACGGAGCGAAGCGACGUCAAAGCGUUCAUUAAAGUCGAGUUGGCUUAGGGAUACGUUCGUUGGGUAGGGGAGCGUUCUGUAAGCCUGUGAAGGUGUGUCGUGAGGCAUGCUGGAGGUAUCAGAAGUGCGAAUGCUGACAUAAGUAACGAUAAAGCGGGUGAAAAGCCCGCUCGCCGGAAGACCAAGGGUUCCUGUCCAACGUUAAUCGGGGCAGGGUGAGUCGACCCCUAAGGCGAGGCCGAAAGGCGUAGUCGAUGGGAGACGGGUUAAUAUUCCCGUACUUGGUGUUACUGCGAAGGGGGGACGGAGAAGGCUAUGUUGGCCGGGCGACGGUUGUCCCGGUUUAAGCGUGUAGGUGUGUGUUCCAGGUAAAUCCGGUUCACUUUAACACUGAGGCGUGACGACGAGGCACUACGGUGCUGAAGCAACAAAUGCCCUGCUUCCAGGAAAAGCCUCUAAGCAUCAGGUAACAUCAAAUCGUACCCCAAACCGACACAGGUGGUCAGGUAGAGAAUACCAAGGCGCUUGAGAGAACUCGGGUGAAGGAACUAGGCAAAAUGGUGCCGUAACUUCGGGAGAAGGCACGCUGACACGUAGGUGAAGUGAUUUACUCAUGGAGCUGAAGUCAGUCGAAGAUACCAGCUGGCUGCAACUGUUUAUUAAAAACACAGCACUGUGCAAACACGAAAGUGGACGUAUACGGUGUGACGCCUGCCCGGUGCCGGAAGGUUAAUUGAUGGGGUCAGCGCAAGCGAAGCUCCUGAUCGAAGCCCCGGUAAACGGCGGCCGUAACUAUAACGGUCCUAAGGUAGCGAAAUUCCUUGUCGGGUAAGUUCCGACCUGCACGAAUGGCGUAAUGAUGGCCAGGCUGUCUCCACCCGAGACUCAGUGAAAUUGAACUCGCUGUGAAGAUGCAGUGUACCCGCGGCAAGACGGAAAGACCCCGUGAACCUUUACUAUAGCUUGACACUGAACAUUGAGCCUUGAUGUGUAGGAUAGGUGGGAGGCUUUGAAGUGUGGACGCCAGUCUGCAUGGAGCCGACCUUGAAAUACCACCCUUUAAUGUUUGAUGUUCUAACGUGGACCCGUAAUCCGGGUUGCGGACAGUGUCUGGUGGGUAGUUUGACUGGGGCGGUCUCCUCCUAAAGAGUAACGGAGGAGCACGAAGGUUGGCUAAUCCUGGUCGGACAUCAGGAGGUUAGUGCAAUGGCAUAAGCCAGCUUGACUGCGAGCGUGACGGCGCGAGCAGGUGCGAAAGCAGGUCAUAGUGAUCCGGUGGUUCUGAAUGGAAGGGCCAUCGCUCAACGGAUAAAAGGUACUCCGGGGAUAACAGGCUGAUACCGCCCAAGAGUUCAUAUCGACGGCGGUGUUUGGCACCUCGAUGUCGGCUCAUCACAUCCUGGGGCUGAAGUAGGUCCCAAGGGUAUGGCUGUUCGCCAUUUAAAGUGGUACGCGAGCUGGGUUUAGAACGUCGUGAGACAGUUCGGUCCCUAUCUGCCGUGGGCGCUGGAGAACUGAGGGGGGCUGCUCCUAGUACGAGAGGACCGGAGUGGACGCAUCACUGGUGUUCGGGUUGUCAUGCCAAUGGCACUGCCCGGUAGCUAAAUGCGGAAGAGAUAAGUGCUGAAAGCAUCUAAGCACGAAACUUGCCCCGA